GCUGGGCAUGGUAGUGCAUGCCUGUAAUCCCAGUGACCUGGGAGGCUGAGGCAAGAGGAUUCCAAGUUCCAGGCCAGCCACAAAACUGGGUGCUUUUAGUAUCCU
This 105-nucleotide small RNA is filed under the name Marmota monax (woodchuck). Lineage: Eukaryota; Metazoa; Chordata; Mammalia; Rodentia; Sciuridae. The record is from RNAcentral.